Molecule: long non-coding RNA, 7045 nt
Filed under: Ananas comosus (pineapple)
Lineage: Eukaryota; Viridiplantae; Streptophyta; Magnoliopsida; Poales; Bromeliaceae
Description: long non-coding RNA (ACOM_LNC042925)
Source: RNAcentral
AAAAUAAAUAAAAAUAAAUACAUACCAAAUCCAGGAUCAAAAAAUAAAAUACGAUAACUCACAUAGCGCCAUAAAGAAGAGAUUCUUGAUUAAUCUUGUGGAAGCUGGAAGUCCGGUUAUGAUCUGAAAGUCACGAACCGAACUUGGGUGAUUUGGUUUCUCCCCCUAUCUCAGACACUCUGCCGUAUGGUGUGGAACCGAUGGUAAUUCUUCACCAGAAUGCGUAUGAGAAGGUGGCAGGACCAAUACCCCUUUAUAUAGAGUCCAGAUCGACUUCCCAUCAAAAUCUGAUUAGGAUUCUAUUUAAACUUCAAAUAAAUGGGAUAGGGAUAAAAUAUACCAUAUCAAGUAGAUCUAAAUCUGUUAGGAUUGACCUUUAUCUAUAGCAAAUCCUAAAUUAAAUAUGAUUAAUUGGGCCACAAUAUAUGAAAAUCCUAACAAUCUCCCACUUGGCUCAUAUUAAUCAUAUUCCAUUAACGGAUUUUCUAUACUCCAAUCUUUAUUGCGCAUUAUUGAAAACUUUAUGGUCAAAUACUUUAGAACUCACUUGAUCUUUAGCUUAAACUAAAAGACUACAAUGAUAGGAACUAUGGCGGUCCACCUCUUCAUAACGAAAUUUUUCUUCCAUAAUUACCGUAUUAUUUUCACCUUCUAGCCGAGUACUUUAUAUGGCACAACUUUAUGAAUGAACUUAAACUGUAUAUUCAUUCGUUAAUAGACGAAGCUUCAUGCCUAUUAAAUGGUCCAAUACAGCUGCAUUAAACUUUAACUUUAUUGGAAGAAAAUAAGUAUUACAAUUUUAUACAUCGAAAGAAUUAAUCAAACUCAUACUUUUAAUACGAUCUAUAUAUGAUCCAGGUGCCGGCCCCUAGGUCAUUGGGUUUGCAAUCAUACACUUGGUACUGAUAUACUCAAUUGCAACAUAACCUUCAUCUAUCAUCUCUCUCACAACAAGAUAUUUGGUGUCCAUGUGUUUACACCCUACUGUAAUCUUGUUGUUAUUGACAAAGGAAACCGCAGCUGAACUAUCACAGAAAAUCUUUAUUGGAUAAACACCGGAGUCCACAAUUCUUAAGUCUGUGAUAAAAUUCCUAAGCCAAAAAACUUGUGAUGUGGUAUCGUGACAUGCAAUAUGAUCCAAAGUUCCUUUCAAAUACCUCAUAACCCUUUAGCAGCCUUCCAAUGCUCAAUGCUUGGAUUACUUUAAUACCUGCCAAGUAAUCCAACGGCAAAAGCAAUAUCUGGACGUGUGCACUUCUGUGCAUACAUAAGACUACCAACUGUAGAGGCAUAGGGUAUGCUUUCCAUCUGUUCAAUUUUUUAAUUGGUUCCAGGGACACUGAAAAGUAUUAAGCUUAUCCCCUUUCUGGACAGGAGCAAUACUGGGCUUAUAUGCAAUAGCCCAAGAUCAUUACUGGUAAGCAAAAUAUCAUCAAUAUAAACUACUGAGAAAAUUAUUUUACUCCCACUAACUUUUAGAUAAAUACAUUGAUCAACAAUAUUUUCCUUAAAACCAAAAGUCAAAAUAGUUUGUUUAAAUUUUAAAUACCAUUGUCGGGAGGCUUGCUUUAGUCCAUAUAUUGAUUUCUUUAAUUUGCAUACCAAAUGCUCCUUUCCCUUUUGCGAGAAUCCUUCAGGUUGAUUCAUAUACACCUCUUCAUAGAGAUCCCCAUUUAAAAAAGCAGUUUUGACAUCCAUCUGAUAUAGCUCGAGAUCAAAAUGAGCAACCAGAGCCAUAAUAAUACGGAAAGAUUCUUUUCUAGAUAUUGGAGAGAAAGACUCUUUAUAGCCAAUGCCUUCUUUUGAGUAAAUCCUUUUGCCACAAGACGGGCCUUGUAUCUCUCUAUGUUACCUUGGAGUCCCAUUUGAUUUUUAUAAACCCAUUUGCAUUUUACGGGUUUAACUCCUUUAGGUAACUCAACAAGAUCCCAUACCUUAUUGUGGUUCAUGGAUUCAAUCUCAUCCUUCAUGGCAUUGUACCAUUCCGUAGAAUUAUUACUAUUUAUGGCUUCGGAAAAACUAAGAGGAUCAUCUAAACUCUGACCAUUCUCAUAAAGAUAGACAAUAUAAUCACUGGAUAUAGCCGGUCUUCUCUGUCUUGAGGAUCUUCUUAAAUCUAUCUGAUUAUCCACAUGUAUAUCUUGAUGUGGAUUAUUCACUUGUACAUCUUGAUGUGAAUUAUCCACUUGUACAUCUUGAUGUGAAUUAUCAAUGAUAGGUUCACAAUCAUUUUGUGGUUCCAAAACAACUUGUUGUUCUACUGGAAUAGGAACCAACAAAUCGUGAGGGACAAUAGUGGGUCUGUCAUGUACAGAAUCCGAAUGCUCUUGAAUUUCCUCAAAUUCAAUGAAUCGAGGUUCAGAGCUCCCACUAAUUGUACCAUCCUCAAUAAACCGUGCUGUUUUAGUUUCUGCAAUCUUUAUAGGAAGUGAUGGACAGUAAAACUUAUACCCUUUGGACCUUUCUGAAUAACCAAUAAAAUAUCCUGAUAUGGUUCGAGGAUCCAGUUUCUUUAUUUGUGGAUCAUACAAUUUGGCCUCAGCUUGACAACCCCAUAUAUGAAAGUGUCUUAAACUGGGUUUCCUACCUGUCCAAAGCUCAAAAGGAGUCUUAGUGACAGCCUUAGUAGGGACCCGAUUAAGAAUAUACAGGGCAGUUUUGAGUGCCUCACUCCACAAUGAUAUCGGAAGGGUAGAAUUACUGAUCAUACUCCUGAGCAUAUCAAUUAAUAUGCGGUUCCUUCUUUCAGCAAUACUAUUCUGAUCAGCUGUCCCUGGCAUGGUGUACUGUGAAAUAAUUUCGCACUGCUCCAGAAACUUAGCAAAAGGCCCAGGGAUUUGGCCUUUAUCUGUUUGUCUACCAAAAUAUUCACCACCCCUAUCUGAUAUGACUACUUUUAUCCUUUUCUCGAGUUGAUUCUCUACUUCAGUCUCAUAUGCCUUAAAGGCAUCUAAUGCUUCAGAUUUUUUCUUAAGUAAGUAGAGAUAGCCAUAUCGAGAGUAGUCAUCAGUAAAUGUGAUAAAAUAUUUAUGGUCAGUAAUUGAAAUAGGAAGAGAUUCUCAUAUAUCGGUAUGAAUCAACUCUAAUGUUCCAUCACAUCUUUUAGCACCUUUAGAGGAAGUUUUGGUCUGCUUUCCCUUUAUACAGUCCACACAUAUUCCAAAGUCAGAGAAGUCCAAAUCAUCUAAAAUGCCUUCUCUAAUUAACUUUUGGAUUAUCUGUUUCGAGAUGUGUCCUAACCUCUUAUGUCAUAACAUGGAUGACAUUUCAUUAUUAAUGCCACGUUUUGAUCCAACAUUGCCGUGCAUGGUAAGAAGGAUUUCACUAUAUGAAUCAUCCAAAAACAAUUUAUAUAAAUUAUUUUUCAAAAUACCAGAGCCAACUAUCUGAGACUUAUAGGAUAAAGAAAAAACUUUAUUAUUAAAACUGAAACUAUAUCCAAAUCCAAUAAGUUUCGAAAUAGAAAUUAAAUUCUUAGAAGAAUUUGGAACAUAAAAUGUAUCAACUAAAUUCAAAAUGUGACCAGUAAAAAGAACAAAUCUAAAUGUUCCUACAAAUUCUACUUUAGUUGGAUUUUCUUCAGCUGUAUAGAUAGUCGCUUCAUCUUUACUGGGUUUUCUUCGAUUCUGAAAUCCCUGCACGGAAUUCGCCACGUGGCAUGUGGCACCAGAGUCAAUCCACCAAGUAUUAGACGGAACUGAAACUAAAUGCAACCCAUGCAUCAAAACCAGAAAUUUAUCUUUCUUUUGGAGCCAUUUCUGAUACUUUUGGCAGUCUUUUUCAUAUGACCAUUUUUCUUACAAAAGAAGCACUUGGGAAUCCAAUUACUUGAUUAGCCCUGUGAACCAGAUGGAACUUCCUUGUUCUUCCUUUUUGAGUCAUUCUUGCCCUUGCCAUUCUUAGCACGUUUUAUUUGUCUCUUCUGAGAAACAAAGUUGACUGCAUUUUGUUUCUCUUGUAUUAAUCUGCCUUCCUCUUGCACACACAUGGUCAGCAAUUCAUUAAUUGACCAUUUAUCUUUAUGUGUGUUAUAAGAGAUCUGAAAUGGUCCGUAUUCAGAUGGCAAAGAGUUCAAAAUAAAGUGCACUAAGAAUGAAUCAGAGAUGGUUACUUCAAGUGCGGUGAGUUGCGCUGCAAUAUCUCGCAUUUCCAUAAUAUGCUCGCGAAUCGAGCCAUUUCCGGAGUACUUCAUGGAAGACAGUUUAUUCAUUAAGGUGCUCGCCAAGGCUUUAUCGGAGCUGACAAACUGCUCCUCAAUAGCCUUUAGAUAAUCCUUGGCUUUAUCACAUUCUGGGAUUGAUCCCCUUAUGCUUUUUGAUACCCUUGACUUUAUGAGCAUCAAACUUAAGCGGUUGGAUCGCUCCCACUUUUCCUGCGCGAAUUCCUGCUGUGGAGUCAUUGGCCCCACUACCUUAGGCGGUUGUUCAGCGCGCAGAGCCAAAUCUAAAUCCAUAUAGCCCAAAAUGAACAUAAUCUGUUCUUUCCACUCCGAAUAAUUAGAACCAUUAAGUAUAGGAACAGAUUCACCAAUAGGAACAGAAAAUGGAGUCAUAGCUGAAAAAUAAAAUGCAUGCUUUAUCAAUAAAAUACCACAUCAUAAAUUACCACACCAAAAUUAGAAAAAUACACUUUAUAUGACAUCACAACCCCUCCUUUGGGAGCAGAGUUAUGAGCAUAAGUAUUUUUCAUUCUUUAUGCAUAUACUUUAUAUGACAUCACAACCCCUCCUUUGGGAGCAGAGUUAUGAGCAUAAAUAUGCAAUCAUUCCUUAUGCAUAUACUUUAUAUGACAUCACAACCCCUCCUUUGGGAGCAGAGUUAUGAGCAUAAGUAUUUUUCAUUCUUUAUGCAUAUACUUUAUAUGACAUCACAACCCCUCCUUUGGGAGCAGAGUUAUGAGCAUAAAUAUGCAAUCAUUCCUUAUGCAUAUACUUUAUAUGACAUCACAACCCCUCCUUUGGGAGCAGAGUUAUGAGCAUAAGUAUUUUUCAUUCUUUAUGCAUAUACUUUAUAUGACAUCACAACCCCUCCUUUGGGAGCAGAGUUAUGAGCAUAAAUAUGCAAUCAUUCCUUAUGCAUAUACUUUAUAUGACAUCACAACCCCUCCUUUGGGAGCAGAGUUAUGAGCAUAAAUAUGCAAUCUCUUUAUCAGAGAUUAAUUUAAACUUUCUGUAGGUCGUGAUAAUUUCAAAAUUCCCAUAUGAAGAAAUUGUCAGCUUUGGCCAGGCAAAUUUCUCCAAACGAGUUACAAGAAAAUUACCAUCCUACACCACCCAUUUACCUUCAUGUCUAGACCUCCUUUGGGAGCAGACUAAACAUAAUAUCAUGGUGCAAUUUUCGCAUGCACUUCUUUAAAGCAAUCAAUUUAUCUUUUCUUCCGAUCGGGGCCGCUUUGGCUUGCACCCGAACAGUUGAAGCAACAAAUUAAUCUGACUUAGUGCUGCAUGAUUAACAUGAGAAUUAUCCGGAAACGCUACUUUAAAGUAAAUUAAAUCAUCAUUUCUUUUAAUUAGGGCCGCUUUGGCUUGCACCUAACUAAUCGAAAUAAUAAAUUAAUUCAACUUAGCGCCAAAUAUUAAAUAAUCGAAAACAAAUAUGAUUAUUUAAUUUCAUGUUCAUCCGGUCAAAAUAAGAAUAUAGAUACGAUAAUUUAAAACAUAAUUACGCAAUCAAAUUUAAACUUUAUAUAUUCUUAUUUGACCACAAAACAUAAGAUAAAUAAAUUUAUGAUAAAUUAAUAUUAUAUACAAAAUCAAAACUUUAUGUGAAUAAAUUUUGAACAUUCACAGUACUGUAUGGAGCAUAACUUUAUGACGAGUAAAAGAAAAUUUGGGCAUAGAUCAAUAAUGGGCUGACUUAAACUCAGCUAUACUUUUCUAAAGAUGGUCCGAUCGAACUAUAUAACUAAACACCAAGAGUUUAAUAAAAGAAACCAAGAUUAGUAACAAAUCUAAUCUUUAGCUGAAAAUAAUUAAGAUAAAUUUAAUAAUAAACUCAUAUUUGAAACAAUUUCAAAUUAAAUUGUGUUGUCUUAAUUCGUUAAGUGGAAUGAGUUCAACCAAAAAUAUGUUCAUCUUCUUCAUUAACUUCAAUGAGGAUUUUAAUUAAGCAAAGAUGCGGCCGCCUCAAAUACGCUAGGCACUGUGCAUCUCAUGCGGCCAAGAUUAAUGUGCGGAUAACCCCAUGCGAGACUCGAUUGCUCACGGCAUCAUCGCGUUAAUUAAAAUCCGAUGUUCAUCCGAACCGGAAUCUCGCAGUUACACGCCGCAUAGAGUCGGAUUGUCGUUCAAAACGACCUUCCAUGCGACCAAAAGUCGCCAAGAUGCAAACGCCAAAAAUUGUUGCAAUCUCGCGGCGGCAAGAACUUCAAAGCGAGUCUUAGGAUUAAUUAAAAUCAUUAAGAUGAUGAUGAACAGCAAUAUUAUAAAAUAAUGUUGCAAUUCAAAGCGCCCAAAUUAUAUCCGUCCACUUGUUCAAUGCUCCAAGAGAAAAUUUUGCAUAUAAUAUAUAAUUUAUCGUUAUUGGCUCUGAUACCAAUUGAUGGAAUCUCAAGGUAUGCAAAAUAAAUAAAAAUAAAUACAUACCAAAUCCAGGAUCAAAGAAUAAAAAUACGAUAACUCACAGAGCGCCAUAAAGAAGAGAUUCUUGCUUAAUCUUGCGGAAGCUGGAAGUCCGGCUACGAUCUGAAAGUCACGAACCGAACUUGGGUGAUUUGGUUUCUCCCCCUACCUCAGGCACUCUGCCGUAUGGUGUGGAACUGAUGGUAAUUCUUCACCAGAAUGCGUAUGAGAAGGUGGCAGGACCAAUACCCCUUUAUAUAGAGUCCAGAUCGACUUUCCAUCAAAGUCUGAUUAGGAUUCUAUUUAAACUUCAAAUAGAUGGGAUAGGGAUAAAAUAUACCACAUCAAGUAGAUCUAAAUCUGUUAGGAUUGACCUUUAUUUAUAGCAAAUCCUAAAUUAAAUAUGAUUAAUUGGGCCACAAUAUAUGAAAAUCCUAACAAUAAUUCCUUAUCCCAUCUCUAUUCCUUAUACCCAAACAAAAAAAA